RNAcentral lists this long non-coding RNA (490 nucleotides) under Struthio camelus australis. RNAcentral describes it as "lncRNA (ENSSCUG00000009093.1)". The record is from RNAcentral. Lineage: Eukaryota; Metazoa; Chordata; Aves; Struthioniformes; Struthionidae.
UGUCUCCCCUCCAUGCUGUUAAUCAGCUGCUUUUUCUACUGCCUGUUUUGAGUUGGGAUCAUCAUCAUGCCAGCUGAAUGCAAAGCACUUAUUCAUAUAAUAUCGCAAGUGUUAUUUUCAAUUUUGUUCUUCAGAUCUCCCAGCAAUCCAUAUGCCUUUUGAAUCACCAGUGUGAAGUAAGCAGAGGUUUUUCACAGAUGGACAAGUGUGCACAAUUAAUUGAGAACCUAGCAAACGGUAUGAAUAAUUGCAGUUCUCUUAGAGGGUCACUGCUCCAUCUCACACACCUUCAAAUAAUCGAGGAGCAUCAACAGCUCUGACCUUGGGGAGCAAUUAGCAUGUGCCUUGCAAUAUAGCUGAAAAUUGUAAGAAAAAAGGGAACUCCAGGACUGCAGAUGCUGCAUUACAGAAAAAGCAGACUCUUUGUUCAGAAGAUGAGAAGAUGAUCUAGAGAUUCUUCUUAGUGGACUAUAUUGAAGAGAUGUUGAAG